This 250-nucleotide ribosomal RNA is filed under the name uncultured bacterium. RNAcentral describes it as "partial 16S ribosomal RNA". It matches the Rfam family "Bacterial small subunit ribosomal RNA", at positions 524 to 773 of the family's 1533-position model. The record is from RNAcentral.
UACAGAGGUCUCGAGCGUUGUUCGGAUUCAUUGGGCGUAAAGGGUGCGUAGGUGGCGGAGUAAGUCUGGUGUGAAAUCCCGGGGCUCAACCCCGGAACUGCACUGGAUACUGCUUUGCUAGAGUACUGGAGAGGAGAUUGGAAUUUACGGUGUAGCAGUGAAAUGCGUAGAUAUCGUAAGGAAGACCAGUGGCGAAGGCGAAUCUCUGGACAGUUACUGACACUGAGGCACGAAGGCCAGGGGAGCAAAC